UGUUAAAUUGACUGGUGAUGUCCCGUG
This 27-nucleotide non-coding RNA is filed under the name Rattus norvegicus (Norway rat). The record is from RNAcentral. Lineage: Eukaryota; Metazoa; Chordata; Mammalia; Rodentia; Muridae.